Molecule: ribosomal RNA, 549 nt
Filed under: uncultured Glomus
Lineage: Eukaryota; Fungi; Glomeromycota; Glomeromycetes; Glomerales; Glomeraceae
Description: SSU rRNA
Rfam family: Eukaryotic small subunit ribosomal RNA
Source: RNAcentral
UUGGAGGGCAAGUCUGGUGCCAGCAGCCGCGGUAAUUCCAGCUCCAAUAGCGUAUAUUAAAGUUGUUGCAGUUAAAAAGCUCGUAGUUGAAUUUCGGGGUCAGCAGGUUGGUCGUGCCAAUGGUAUGAACUGGCCUUGCUGAUUCCUCCCUCUUGAUGAGCCGUAAUGCCAUUAAUUUGGUGUUGCGGGGAAUCAGGACUGUUACUUUGAAAAAAUUAGAGUGUUUAAAGCAGGCAAGCGCUUGAAUACAUUAGCAUGGAAUAAUGAAAUAGGACGUUUGAUCCUAUUUUGUUGGUUUCUAGGAUUGACGUAAUGAUUAAUAGGGAUAGUUGGGGGCAUUAGUAUUCAAUUGUCAGAGGUGAAAUUCUUGGAUUUAUUGAAGGCUAACUACUGCGAAAGCAUUUGCCAAGGAUGUUUUCAUUAAUCAAGAACGGAAGUUAGGGGAUCGAAGACGAUCAGAUACCGUCGUAGUCUUAACCAUAAACUAUGCCGACUAGGGAUCGGAUGAUGUUAAUUUUUUAAUGACUCAUUCGGCGCCUUACGGGAAAC